RNAcentral lists this long non-coding RNA (980 nucleotides) under Homo sapiens (human). RNAcentral's name for it is "HSALNT0301604". Lineage: Eukaryota; Metazoa; Chordata; Mammalia; Primates; Hominidae. The record is from RNAcentral.
GCUCUAUUAGAAGCUGUGGGUCACAGAAGAGAACCGUGGAACCCAGCGACUAGUGUUCAGCUCGAUUAGGAUGAACCCGGGCACUUAGCUGCACAGGGCAGGAAUCCUUUGAAGGGAUAAAAGAAGUAAUCAGAGACCUGUCCAUGGUGACAAUAGGGUCAAGGUCACUUAACCUUCCUAGGCAUCAGUUUCCUCAGCUGUGAAAAGGGAAUAUUAACUUCAUUACAAGGUUAUCAGGAGGAUGGGUAACCAACCAUCUUCAGUCUGUAUGUCUCUCCAAUGCAUCCUGAAUCACUGGGAUUCCUUUGAAAAGAGAAAAUCAACCUUCUUCUUCCUGUUUCCUCCUCUGUCCUCUCUUCAUGGAUGAAUAAUCAUGUCUCCAUACCACAGGACAUUUCCCUCUGUGAAAAGUUUAAUUUCUGCAUUAAACCACUUGGCUUAAAAAAAAAUGAACUGGGAAGACAUUAUAACUCACAUUCCCCUCUGUGAAAAGUUUAAUUUCCAUAAACCUUAAAUCACUUGACUUAAAAAAAAAAUGAACUGGGAAAACUCUAACUGAGCAAUCUCUUGAGGAAGGACAAUGUUUACAGUAUGCAAAUAACCUAUUUGUCUGCUCCCCCUUUACGGAACUCCAGGGUCAAAGGGCUUCAUAGCUCGGGGGAAGGGAACCCAGAAGCCUGACAUGCUGGCAAACGAGUAAAAGUUUUUUACCCAUCAGACUUCUGGCUUUUCUCUCUCUCUGUGCAAACUGUUUGAAUGAAUGAUAAAAAUCACUGUUUAUAUACUCUGAAACGUUGUGAUUAAUGGAAAAAGGAUUUGUGAGGUGAGUCUUAAGCUAUAGAGAAUCUGUGAUACUUUGUGUUAAGAAUUUCUCUUUCUGUAUCUUUCUAUCAGAAAGAGGGGUACCUUAGGAUAAAAUGUGGGUCUAGGCCCAAAUGUCCAACAAUGAUAGACUGGGUUAAGAAAAUGUGGCACAUAUA